CCUACGGGUGGCAGCAGUAGGGAAUUUUCGGCAAUGGGGGGAACCCUGACCGAGCAACGCCGCGUGAACGAAGAAGUUAUUCGUAAUGUAAAGUUCUUUUAACAGGGAAGAAAGAGAAAUUUGACGGUACCUGAAGAAUAAGCUCCGGCUAACUACGUGCCAGCAGCCGCGGUAGUACGUAGGGAGCGAGCGUUAUCAGGAAUUAUUGGGCGUAAAGGGUGGGUAGAUGGCAUAGUAAGUGUUUGUGAAAGAUGCGGGGCUAAACCCAGUAGGGCAAAAGAUACUGCAAGGCUAGAGUAUGGCAGAGGCAAGUGGAACUACAUGUGUAGCGGUAAAAUGCGUAGAUAUAUGGAAGAACACCAGUGGCGAAGGCGGCUUGCUGGGUCGAUACUGACAUUGAGGCACGAAAGCGUGGGGAGCAAACAGGAUUAGAUACCCCAGUAGUC
This 446-nucleotide ribosomal RNA is filed under the name uncultured bacterium. Its description in RNAcentral is "partial 16S ribosomal RNA". It matches the Rfam family "Bacterial small subunit ribosomal RNA", at positions 338 to 795 of the family's 1533-position model. The record is from RNAcentral.